UUAGCAGAGCCCGCCCUGUCUCUGCGGCAGCCUAUCGACGCCAGCCCGUGGGCCGAUCCUGUUCCCGCCCCCGACCGGAGCCUUUCGGGUGGCUCCGCCCACAGCGGGCGUUUCCUCGAGCCACGCCUGCGCAGGUCGUCGGGGGAGACUGGUGAAGAGACGACUAUCCCCAGACCGUAUUGUAACUACUAUGGCGCUGUGUAAGAAGCAACCUGAGAAAUGUGGAUGAAAAUCUACAGGCAGAGAUAAGAUGCUGAGUGCUUAGAAGAUAUGGACACUUGAAGAAUCUAUGGACAAGCACUGUUAUGUUUGCUUGGUAGGGUAAAAUCGAAAUUACUAAAGUAUAUAGAUGAGACUGGCAGAGUUCGCUGAAAAAUAAGGGAGAUUUUCUUAGACCAGGAAAAGCAUUCCAGAUCCAGAGAGAGCUCCCUUAUUGGAACACAAACACAGAGACUCCUGGAGCGACCAGUUGGCUGAUUUCGAGUGUACCAUACUACUACCUGCUCUAUCUUUUCAAUGAAGAGCUUUUUGCUACCUAGCACGGGCAGUUUCUUCUUUCUGCAGCCCUGACAAUGAACACCCACCACUCUGGGUCAUUC
Molecule: long non-coding RNA, 599 nt
Organism: Gorilla gorilla gorilla (western lowland gorilla)
Lineage: Eukaryota; Metazoa; Chordata; Mammalia; Primates; Hominidae
Exons: 3
Source: RefSeq, a predicted model, not a curated record